GAUGAACGCUAGCGGCAGGCCUAACACAUGCAAGUCGAGGGGCAGCACAGAAACAGCAAUGUUUUGGUGGCGACCGGCGGACGGGUGCGUAACGCGUAUGCAACCUACCUUUAACAGGGGGAUAACGGAGAGAAAUUUCCACUAAUACCCCAUAACAUCGAUCAAGGCAUCUUGAUUGGUUGAAAACUCCGGUGGUUAAAGAUGGGCAUGCGUUGUAUUAGGUAGUUGGUGAGGUAAUGGCUCACCAAGCCUACGAUACAUAGGGGGACUGAGAGGUUAGGCCCCCACACUGGUACUGGGACACGGACCAGACUCCUACGGGAAGCAGCAGUGAGGAAUAUUGGUCAAUGGGGGCAACCCUGAACCAGCCAUGCCGCGUGCAGGAAGACGGCUCUAUGAGUUGUAAACUGCUUUUAAACAGGGAUAAAGCACAGUAUGUAUACUGUGUUGAAGGUACUGUAAGAAUAAGGAUCGGCUAACUCCGUGCCAGCCGCCGCAGUAA
Molecule: ribosomal RNA, 502 nt
Filed under: uncultured bacterium
Lineage: Bacteria
Description: partial 16S ribosomal RNA
Rfam family: Bacterial small subunit ribosomal RNA
Source: RNAcentral